AACGAACGCUGGCGGCAUGCCUAACACAUGCAAGUCGAACGAGACCUUCGGGUCUAUUGGCGCCCGGGUGCGUCACGCGUGGGAACCGUCCCUUAUGUUCGGAAUACCUCUCCGAAAGGGGUGCUAAUGCCGGAUAAUUUCUUCUGACCAAAGAUAUAUCGCCUUGGGAUGUGCCCGCGUUGGAUUAGCUUGUUGGUAGGGUAAAAGCCUACCAAGGCGACGAUCCAUAGCUGGGCUGAGAGGAUGAUCAGCGACACUGGGACUGAGAAGCGGCCCAGAAUCUUACGCGAGGGAGGAGAGGGGAAUCGUGCAAAACGGGGGAAGGGAUGAACCAGUACUGCUGGGUGAGCGAUGUUGGUAGGAGGGUAGUAAAGCUCUUUUACCCGGGAUGAUAAUGACGGUACCGGAAGAAUAAGCUCCGGCUAACUCCGUG
RNAcentral lists this ribosomal RNA (433 nucleotides) under uncultured bacterium. RNAcentral's name for it is "partial 16S ribosomal RNA". It matches the Rfam family "Bacterial small subunit ribosomal RNA", at positions 29 to 507 of the family's 1533-position model. The record is from RNAcentral.